This 64-nucleotide transfer RNA is filed under the name Ochthebius minoicus. RNAcentral describes it as "tRNA-His". The record is from RNAcentral. Lineage: Eukaryota; Metazoa; Arthropoda; Insecta; Coleoptera; Hydraenidae.
AUUUAAAUAGUUUAAUUAAAAUAUUGAUUUGUGGAAUCAAAGAUAUAAAUUUUUAUUUUAAAUA